This 468-nucleotide ribosomal RNA is filed under the name uncultured bacterium. Its description in RNAcentral is "partial 16S ribosomal RNA". It matches the Rfam family "Bacterial small subunit ribosomal RNA", at positions 28 to 507 of the family's 1533-position model. The record is from RNAcentral.
GACGAACGCUGGCGGCGUGCUUAACACAUGCAAGUCGAACGGAAAGGCCCUGCUCUUGUGGGGUGCUCGAGUGGCGAACGGGUGAGUAACACGUGAGUAACCUGCCCUUGACUUUGGGAUAACUUCAAGAAACUGGGGCUAAUACCGGAUAGGAGCUCCUGCUGCAUGGUGGGGGUUGGAAAGUUUCGGCGGUUGGGGAUGGACUCGCGGCUUAUCAGCUUGUUGGUGGGGUAGUGGCUUACCAAGGCUUUGACGGGUAGCCGGCCUGAGAGGGUGACCGGCCACAUUGGGACUGAGAUACGGACCAGACUCCUACGGGAGGCAGCAGGGGGGAAUAUUGCGCAGUGGGCGGAAGCCUGAGGCAGCAACGCCGCGUGCGGGAUGACGGCCUUCGGGUUGUAAACCGCUGUCGCCUGUGACGAAGCGGGAGUGACGGUAAUGGGUAAAGAAGCACCGGCUAACUACGUG